CCAAGUUGUUACGGGGCACUUGAAUUGCUGUCAUGAUUUAAAAUUUCAACCCCAAUCAUGUCCAAAUCAAAAUCACAAUCAUGAUUGCGACCAUAUUAACUCUGCUUUGUAUUUGGAAAGGUCGUCGCAACUUGCAAGCAUAACUAUCAUCACAUUGUAAACACAACAACAGUUUAAAAGGAUUUGGAUUCACUGUAGCUCAUGCUCCUAAUUACAAGCAUUCUUAUCACAAGAUCAGUUUUUAGGCAUUCGUUCAUCUCAUGCUUGCUUUGAUGUUCGUUUUUGUCUGCUUUGAUUGCGUUUUUUAAAUUAAUGAUAUUAGGGUUUUGUGUUAAAGACUUAAAAAUUUCAUUUUUUAUGUUUAGUUACUAAAAAUGAUGAACAUUAGAGUAAGUAUGAACGAAAUUAGUGGGAGUCAAAUGAAGAAGACUUACAAUGACACUCAAUGUGAAAGGUGUUGAUUGAUUGGUCAUAACUCAAGAGGAUGUAUGAAGCAAGGUGUUGAUAUGAGACCAAAAAAUUGGAUUGAUACUGAGCCAAUGAAAAAAAUAUUGGAGGUGUUGCAUAAAAUGCUCGAAAUGUAUCACGAAAUGCAGAAAAUCUUGUGGUUGAAAAUGCUGGAGAUGUUGCAGAAAAUGCUGAAAAUGUUAAUCCUAUAAAUCUUGUUGCUGAAAAUGAUGGACAAGUUGCACAAAAUGCUGAAAAAUGUUGUUGCUAGAAAUUUUACAAUUCAGGGACAAAAUGUUGUCAAUGUUGUUGCAAAUGAAGUAUUGCUUGGACAUGUAUGACUGUUAAAUUUUAAGGAUCGAUUUGCUAGUAAGUGUAAUAAUUUAGGGACUGAUUUGAUUAAAUGUAUUAUUAUUUAGGGACAAAUAUGAUUGAAAAUGUUGUAGUAGGGUGUUCCUGCAAGGAGGUAUGACAUUAGAGGGUCAAUUAUUUCAAAUGAGAGGCCUACGCAAAAACCAGUGAGGGGUCCUGCACCAACACAUCCAACUGCUCCAGGCGUUAUUAGAGUACCAUAUCCAAAUUAUGAUCCAUCCGGUCCGACUCAACCUAAGUUCGUGGAGUUUAUCCCAACCCCCGAAUUUUCAAAGAAGUGAUACUUGAUGCAUGUUUAAAUUAUGAUUUUGGAAAUGUAAUAUUUCGACUUGUUUAAAUUAUGCCCCCUAGUUGGGUUUCUUUUUGGUUAUGUAAUAUUUAAGAACAUUCUUCUAUGACUUAUAUAACUUGUUAAUGACCCAUAAUUGGGUUGCUUUUGCAAUUGUAAUAUUUCAAACUUAAGGUGCAGAUAUUAAUGCACUAGUAUAGGGAGGUAUAACCCGAUGCAUAUUUGAUACAUGAAACUCCAGAGGCUUGCCUUGUUCUCAAGUGGAGGUUUCCAAGUUGAUGACCAUUUAGGGCCUGUUUGUUUCCAUGGAAUGAGCCACGACGUAAAGCAUAAAUAGGGAAAGUUUCUAAAUAUGUGUACCUUCCAUCGUUUGGUUUCUCUGACAGACAGGAAGGAAAGAUUGUUUAAGGCAUGUCCCAUGUAGAAAAGCUUGGAAUGAAGUUGUGAUCCAUUAAAAUGACAAAAGUGCCCUUGUAAAACUUCAUGUGCCCACUUACUUUUCCGCCAAAUAACAUUUCUCACACAAUACACUUUUGCAAUUUUUAACGUUUUGUCUUUAUGCUAGAUACUUAUUGUAUUAAUAUAAUUAAUAAUCACUAUAUUUACAUGUAUAAUACAUUUAAAAUAUCAAAAUCCAUUUAUAUAUAUAAAUAAUGGAAUAGGAUCAAAUGACAUCAUGGUGUCAAAAUUAGUUUGACACUAAAUCUUAUCCAUUCAUUUCAUUUAAUCCAAAGGCUUAAAACUAUCACCAAAUUAAUUAACAUACAUCAAAUACUCCCUAUCACCUAAUUAAGAAACAUAUCUAUCAUUAUUAAUUCAUAAUCAAACAAUACCUUCUUGUUUUUGGUAGAUUCAAACCCUUUUUAUUUUCCCCUAAUUUUUUUCUUUUGGCCAUAAACACAAACUCUAACUUUAUAAUUUUUAUAAAAUCAUGAUAAAUCUUAAUUCAGUUAAACAUGAGACACAACGAGUCCUCUAAAAAAAAUUAGACCUAUUAGUGACAAAAUAAUCUAAUUAGCAUGAACAAUUCAAAAAUCAUUUGUCGAGCUUGUUGGUUUUUUUUAAUACAAUUUAAUUAAUUAUUAAAAAAAUAUGAGUAUAUGAGAUAAAGAUAAAGAAAUAUCAUUGAUGGUGAUGAUGACUCAAACAACCAUAGGUAUAUGAGUUCAACCAUUCAUUUUAUAAAAAAAGUUUAGAAAAGAAGUUUGAGUAUGAUUAUAGAAAUCUGGGAAAAUUUAUAAAUUUGGGGAAAUAAAAAAGAGAAACAAAUAAAUUUGGGGAAAUAAAAAUGGAAUGUUUGAUUAUAAAUUAACGAUGAUAGAUAUUUUUCUUAAUUAGGUGAUAGAGAGUAUUUGGUGUAUAUUAAUUAAUUUGGUGAUAGUUUUAAGCCUUUGGAUUAAAUAAAAUGAGGGAUGAGAUUUGGUGUCAAACUAAUUUUGACACCAUGGUGUCAUUUGAUCCUAACCCAUAAAUAAUAUAUAACAUUUUAAUAUAGGGGUAUUAAUGAAAUUUUCUAAAUAUACACCUUUCUUUCUUUUCACUUUUACUCAUUCCAAACAACUAAAAAAUUAUCUCACUUUCCAUCAACUUUCUACUCACUUUCAUACAAUCUUUCCUUCUAUUUUCUUUCCUUAUACUUUCUUUUGUCAAUCAAACAUAGCCUUAGUGGCAUCUCUUAUGUUUUACUGAAGUCAUGAUUCCAAAGACACAACUGCUGUCUUAAUAUACAUAAAUUAUUAAAUAUCCAAUCCAAAGGUGUAAGUUGGCAUAGAGCGGUUAUGGUGCAUAAGAAAAUUCUUAUGCACCGUGCAUAAAUCCCAACAUAAUUGCUUCCUACACCCCCAAAGGAAACCAAACAAAAUAAAACAAAACGAACCAAACGCGGAAACAAACUGAAUCAUCACCAUCGUUCAUCAUCAUCACCACUGGAAUCUUCAAUCUCAUCAUCAACACCGCCGUUCAUCAUCAUCACCGUACCGGAAUGCCAAAACCAUUUUGUUGUGGAAAUGGUUUCUGUGAGUUGUACUCCAAACCCAUUUUGCUGUGGAAAUGGUUUCCAGAAUCUUCAAUCUCAUCAUCAACACUGUCGUUCAUCAUCAUCACCGUAUCGGAAUGCCAAAACCAUUUUGUUGUGGAAAUGGUUUCUGUGAGUUGUACUCCAAACCCAUUUUGUUGUGGAAAUGGUUUCCAGAAUCUUCAAUCUCAUCAUCAACAUCGUCGUUCAUCAUCAUCACCAUCAUCAUCACCGUACCGAAAUGCCAAAACCAUUUUGCUGUGGAAAACCAUUAGAUGUACUUAAUGGUUUCCAGCAGUUGUACUCCAAAACCAUUAGAUAUACUUAAUGGUUUCCAGCAAUUUCGCAGCCAUAAAUUCCAGCCCACGGGUGCGGAAAUUCGUGCAAUUAUGGUGAAAAUCACGAACCCGAAUCCACAGUUCCACCUCCAAACCCAGAACCAUCACAACCCACUUCAGAACUCCCCAGGAACACGAAGAAGAAGCUAGCGAGACAACAGAGAAGGGAAGCAAAGAAAGCAGAGAAGAAAGCGGCGGCGAAGAAGCAGAAGAAGAAGAAGGAAACCGAACGGAAACGAAAGGAAUGAGAACAAAGUUAAAACCUAGAUCUACACUGUUUGGUUGUUUAUCUUUGAAAACCGAGUCCGGAUUUGGAUUAUAGAAGGAAAAGGAAUUUUAAAAGUGAAUUUUUUUUUUUUGAAAUCGGAGCCAUUUCCUACUACUCUGGCGGCCGCGCCGAUGCCCUAGGGCGGCCGGCCACCGCGCCGAAGGUGUGUAAAAGAUGAAGCUUCAUCCCAGAUUGGUUUCUUAGAGAGAGAGUGAGAGAAAAUCUGUUUUUCAAAAGAGUAGAGAGAGAAAUGACAAACACAAAAUGAAAGAAAUUUGAUGGUUGUGAAGUGUUUAUGCACGGCGCAUAAGGAAAUGGCUUAUGCACCAUAACUUUUUCCAAGUUGGCAUAGAUAUACAUAAAUUAUUAAAUAAGUUGUUGGUCAAUAAAAAUAUAAUUAAUUUUGUUUUUAGUCCCCACAAAAAAAGGUUAAUUAAGUAAAUGAUUUUUAUAAAUAUUUAGAAUUUUGUUUUUAGUCCGUACAAAAUAAAAUCACACUAUUUAGUCUGUGACAUUUUCCUUUAGCAUUUUAGAGAAAAAAAAGUGUUGAUGGAAAUUUUUUAUAGAGACUCAAAAUAUUGAUGCAAAAUUUUACAGGGACUAAAAAGUACGAUUUUAUUUUAUAGGGACUAAAAAUAAAAUUCUAAAUAUUAAUAGGAACCAUUUAUUUAAUUAACCCUAAAAAAUGUGACAUAUUUUGGUUAGUAUAAAAAUUUUCAUCACGUAAUCUUAGUCCCUGUUAAAUUAAAAAUUGUUUAAUUAUGUUUAAAAUUUAAAAUUUUUGAAUGAUAUUUUACAAAAUUGUUUAAAAUAUUAUUAAAAGUUCAUCCGCAAAAAAUUAGCUCAAAAUUUGAUUUUUAAGUCCAAAUUUUUGUUAGUUUUAUCUUGAAAUUUUGCUGUUUAAAUAAAGUCAUGUUUGAUUCAUUAGAUGUUAAAAAAAUUUAAUUUUAUAAAAGAGUUUUUUAUAAUGUUCUUAACAUGUCUAUAAAAAAUCAUUUAAAAAUUUAAAAUUUUAAUCAUAAUUAAAUAAAUUUUAGGUUAACAGGAACUAAAACUAUGUGUUAAAAAUUUUUAUAGGGAUUAAAACGUGUUACUUUUUUCUUUAUGAGGACUAAAAAUUAAAUUCUCUAUAUUUAUAAGGACUAAAAACUUAUUUAACUCAAUAACUAACACAUACCUUUUAUACCAAAAACUUCAAGAGGAGUUACAUGGCUUAUACUUUGUUGAACACUUCUUUCUAUAUGCACAACAAAGAUGUUUCUUUUAUCAAAAGACGUAGUUUGGCUUCAAAGUAUGUAAACAUCUGAGACAUGGCUUAUUUAACCCAACAUUUGUUAGCUUAUGAUGAUGAUUCUACCACUCAAAUUUCUCUAGUGUUUAUGAAUGUUAUGUUGUACCCUCAUUGGACAAUUAUUCCUAUGACUAAAACACUAUUAUUUCUUGUUUGGAAUCGUUUCCUUUCUUUAUAAUGAAAGGA
Molecule: long non-coding RNA, 5205 nt
Filed under: Medicago truncatula (barrel medic)
Lineage: Eukaryota; Viridiplantae; Streptophyta; Magnoliopsida; Fabales; Fabaceae
Description: long non-coding RNA (MTRU_LNC002754)
Source: RNAcentral